RNAcentral lists this ribosomal RNA (215 nucleotides) under uncultured bacterium. RNAcentral's name for it is "partial 16S ribosomal RNA". It matches the Rfam family "Bacterial small subunit ribosomal RNA", at positions 116 to 334 of the family's 1533-position model. The record is from RNAcentral.
UCGGGGAAACUGCCCGAUGGAGGGGGAUAACUACUGGAAACGGUAGCUAAUACCGCAUAACGUCGCAAGACCAAAGAGGGGGACCUUCGGGCCUCUUGCCAUCGGAUGUGCCCAGAUGGGAUUAGCUAGUAGGUGGGGUAACGGCUCACCUAGGCGACGAUCCCUAGCUGGUCUGAGAGGAUGACCAGCCACACUGGAACUGAGACACGGUCCAG